ACAGCAUGACCUAAACAGGGAAAUGAGACAAAAGCAUUAAAUAGGGAGUGCUGAGGGAACAGAAUAAAAAUGCAACUGCAAUAGGAAACAACAUACAAAACUCAAACAAUAAACUAGAGAACUUCUGGGAAAGUAUAAAAAAGCAAGGAAUACAAACAGCCUCAUAUAUAAAAAAGUUUUCAGUUUCAUUCAACUUUAUUUACACAGCGCCAAAUCACAACAACAGUCGCUUCAAGGUGCUUUAUAUUGUACAGUAAACCCUACAAUAACACAUACUGAGAAAAACCCAACAAUCAUAUGACCCCCUAUGAGCAGCACUUUGGCAACAGUGGGAAGGAAAAACUCCCUUUUAACAGGAAGAAACCUCCAGCAGAACCAGGCUCAGGGAGGGGCGGGGCCAUCUGCUGUGAUUGGUUGGGGUGAGAGAAGGAAGACAGGAUAAAGACAUGCUGUGGAAGAGAGACAGAGGUUAAUAACGGAUAUGAUUCAAUGCAGAGAGGUCUAUUAAUACAUAGUGAGUGAGAAAGGUGACUGGAAAGGAAAAACUCAAUGCAUCAUGGGAAUCCUCGGCAGCCUACGUCUAUUGCAGCAUAACUAAGGGAGGAUUCAGGGUCACCUGGUCCAGCCCUAACUAUAUGCUUUAGCAAAAAGGAAAGUUUGAAGCCUAAUCUUAAAAGCAGAAAAGAGCUGAGGAAAGCCCCAGGCCCCGCCAAGCAGCCCCCGGGAGUGAGCCAGUACAAACCCGAACAUCCAGCCCUGGACACCGAGAACCAUCAAUGCACCAACGGUCCCUGUCAGGAAGACAGGAACAAAGCAGUCUUACAUAUUUGUUUAAUAUGUGCGUUGAAGGACAUGUCCUGGUCAACAAUGACUCCAAGGUUCCUCACAGCGUUACUGGAGGCCAAGACAGAAGGAAGAAAUCUUGGAACCAAAGACAAAACUUCCCACACGUUUUAAAGAGCCAGCAGGUAGAAUGGGAGCAGAGCAGGAGCAUCCUUAUAAUAAGAAAGAGAAAUCAAAGUGCUUUACACAACAAGCCUCGCUCAUACAAGCACGCUGCACGCUGAUCAGGUGUGAAAGCUGCGCUCUCUCUGGGAUUUUACUCACCAUGGGGCUUUUUGGACGCUUCAUCAAUGUUUCUUUUUUGUUACAAUGUCUUAUAUUUUAGAGUGAUUUCAUUAAAUGUUGCCAUUGUUGUGCUUUAAGUUGUAAGCCUUGUCCUAAACAGCAUGAUCGAAGACAUUCCCUUGUUUCUGUUCCCCUCCCCAGCAUGUCAGAUGGUAUAGUGAUGUUUAACUUCCUGCCCUUUAUGACCUCAACUGUGCUACUCGUUCUUGAGUGAGUGUCUGUUUAUCCAGCAGUUUCAGGAAUAUCUCUCUGACAUUAAACUGCACUGACC
Molecule: long non-coding RNA, 1399 nt
Organism: Astatotilapia calliptera (eastern happy)
Lineage: Eukaryota; Metazoa; Chordata; Actinopteri; Cichliformes; Cichlidae
Source: Ensembl